AUUGAACGCUGGCGGCAGGCCUAACACAUGCAAGUCGAACGGUAGCACAGAGAGCUUGCUCUCGGGUGACGAGUGGCGGACGGGUGAGUAACGUCUGGGAAACUGCCCGAUGGAGGGGGAUAACUACUGGAAACGGUAGCUAAUACCGCAUAACGUCGCAAGACCAAAGUGGGGGACCUUCGGGCCUCACACCAUCGGAGGUGCCCAGAUGGGAUUAGCUAGGAGGUGGGGUAAUGGCUCACCUAGGCGACGAUCCCGAGCUGGUCUGAGAGGAUGACCAGCCACACUGGAACUGAGACACGGUCCAGACUCCUACGGGAGGCAGCAGUGGGGAAUAUUGCACAAUGGGCGCAAGCCUGAUGCAGCCAUGCCGCGUGUAUGAAGAAGGCCUUCGGGUUGUAAAGUACUUUCAGCGGGGAGGAAGGCGGUGAAGUUAAUAGCUUCACCGAUUGACGUUACCCGCAGAAGAAGCACCGGCUAACUCCGUGCCAGCCGCCGCCGUAA
This 504-nucleotide ribosomal RNA is filed under the name uncultured bacterium. RNAcentral's name for it is "partial 16S ribosomal RNA". It matches the Rfam family "Bacterial small subunit ribosomal RNA", at positions 29 to 523 of the family's 1533-position model. The record is from RNAcentral.